GCUCCUGUGGCGCAAUUGGCUAGCGCGUCUGACUGUUAAUCAGGAGGUUGGUGGUUCAAGCCCACCCGGGAGCG
Radiomyces spectabilis is the source of this 74-nucleotide non-coding RNA. NCBI's taxonomy places the organism in Eukaryota, Fungi, Mucoromycota, Mucoromycetes, Mucorales, Radiomycetaceae. The record is from the annotation of a RefSeq genome assembly.